GGUGCAUUAGCUAGUUGGUGAGGUAACGGCUCACCAAGGCCAACGAUGCAUAGCCGACCUGAGAGGGUGAUCGGCCACACUGGGACUGAGACACGGCCCAGACUCCUACGGGAGGCAGCAGUAGGGAAUCUUCCGCAAUGGACGAAAGUCUGACGGAGCAACGCCGCGUGAGUGAUGAAGGCUUUCGGGUCGUAAAACUCUGUUGUUAGGGAAGAACAAGUAUGAGAGUAACUGCUCGUACCUUGACGGUACCUAACCAGAAAGCCACGGCUAACUACGUGCCAGCAGCCGCGGUAAUACGUAGGUGGCAAGCGUUAUCCGGAAUUAUUGGGCGUAAAGCGCGCGCAGGCGGUUUCUUAAGUCUGAUGUG
RNAcentral lists this ribosomal RNA (370 nucleotides) under uncultured Bacillus sp. RNAcentral describes it as "bacterial SSU rRNA". It matches the Rfam family "Bacterial small subunit ribosomal RNA", at positions 235 to 596 of the family's 1533-position model. Lineage: Bacteria; Bacillati; Bacillota; Bacilli; Caryophanales; Bacillaceae. The record is from RNAcentral.